RNAcentral lists this long non-coding RNA (963 nucleotides) under Homo sapiens (human). RNAcentral's name for it is "HSALNT0137856". Lineage: Eukaryota; Metazoa; Chordata; Mammalia; Primates; Hominidae. The record is from RNAcentral.
GCUUCGGCUCGUGCACGGUGUGCGCACCCACUGACCUGCGCCCACUGUCUGGCACUCCCUAGUGAGAUGAACCCGGUACCUCAGAUGGAAAUGCAGAAAUCACCGUCUUCUGCGUCGCUCACGCUGGGAGCUGUAGACUGGAGCUGUUCCUAUUCGGCCAUCUUGGCUCCUCCCCCGUUGGAUGGUUGACGCUUCCUGAUGAUUAAAAUCAAUAUACACAUUCCAGGUUGGAACAGAAGAAAUGCAGUAUUCCUCUGAGGACAUCACUUCUGGAGAUGCUGCAUGGGGUCUGCUCUGAGAUCUAACUCUAUGGGAAGAUUAAAUGAUGAGGGCCAAGAAAUCAGACCCAGGAAUACAUGGUUUCAGGCCUCAUGUUUAAGUCUCUGGUAGUUCUUUAUAGCAAUGCAAGAACGGACUAAUACACCUGGACACUGAUCUCAUCUGGUGAAAGACUGUGGGUAAUCAAAGCAUUUCUGCGGAGUGGUUGCAAGGCAUGCCUGCGACGAGACAGGUUGUUGGCAGUGAGUGAGUGUAGCAUUGUUCUUUCUCAAGAUUGCUUUAGCUGUCUUCUUGAUCUUGUGGUUCCAUGUAAAUUUUAUGGUUUCAUACAAUUUUUAAUAUUACUUUUUUUGUUUCUGUAAAUAAAUGUCAUUGAAAUUUUAACAGAGAUUGCAUUCAGUCUGUAAAUUGCUUUGGGUAGCAUGGACAUUUUAACAAUAUUAAUUGUUCCAGUCCAUAAACAUAGGACAUCUUUCCAUUUAUUUGUGUCUACUUCAAAUUCUUUCAUCCACGUUUUACAGUUUUCAGUGUACAGAUUUUUCACCUCCUUUGUUAAAUUUAUUCUUUGUUACUUUAUUCUUUCUGACACUGUUGUAAAUGGAACUUUAUAAAGAAUAAUAUGUUUCGGGUGUUUAUUAAAUAUAGAAACACAGCUGAUUUUCGUGUGUUGAUUUUGAAUCCUGC